RNAcentral lists this ribosomal RNA (2994 nucleotides) under Euglena longa. RNAcentral describes it as "bacterial LSU rRNA". It matches the Rfam family "Bacterial large subunit ribosomal RNA". The record is from RNAcentral. Lineage: Eukaryota; Euglenozoa; Euglenophyceae; Euglenales; Euglenaceae.
UUAUUAAGGGCUUAUGUGGGAUUGCUUGGCAUUUAAGAUCGAUGAAGGGCGUGGAAACUGACGAUAUGCUUUGGGGAGUUAGAAUCAAAUUUUGAUCCAAAGAUUCCCGAAUGAGGCAACUUGUUUAGUAUUAAAAUAUUAAUGUAUAGAUAUUAUUUUACAGAUAACUCAGUGAACUGAAACAUCUUAGUAACUGAAGGAAAAGAAAGCAAAUGCGAUUUCCUUAUUAGUGGCGAACUAAUUGGAAUUAGUCUAAACCUUAUUAUAGGUGUUGUUGGGAUAUUUUUUGAUUUAAUUUAUUUUUAAAUAAAGAAUUUGUUAGUUACAAAACCAUAGAAGGUUAUUAGUCUUGUAUUUAUUUAAAUAUUUAAAUAGUUAUUUUCCCGAGUAGUAUAGAACACGUGUAAUUCUGUAUGAAUCUGCGAGGACCAUUUCGUAAGACUAAAUAUUUUAAAUGACCGAUAGUGAAUUAGUACCGUGAGGGAAAGCUGAAAAGAACACUGAGAAGUGAGUGAAAUAGAAUAUGAAAACAUAAGCUUACAAACAGUAGGAGGUUUUAAUAAAAAUUCUGACUAUGUGCCUGUUGAAGAAUGAGCCGGCGACUUAUAAGUAGUGGCAGGGUUAAGGAAUUUUAUUCUGAAGCCUUAGAGAAAUCGAGUUUUAAUAAAGCUUUUAUAAUUUUGUUAUUUUAAUUUAUUUAAUUAUAAUGUCAUUUUUUAUAGACCCGAACCCAGGUGAUCUAAUCAUUGUCAGGUUGAAAUUUCUUUAAAAGGUAAUGGAGGACCGAACUCACCAAUGUUGAAAAAUUGGGAGAUGAACAAUGAUUAGUGAAGAAAUUUCAAUCGAACUUGGAGAUAGCUGGAUCUCUCCGAAAUGCGUUGAGGCGCAGCAUUUAAUUAUGUUUAAUAUAGGGGUAAAGCACUGUUUCUAUGAAGGUUAUGAAAAUAAUACUAAGUGGUGGCAAACUUUGAAUACUAUAUUUUAUUACAAUUAAUUAGUGAGACAGUGGGGGAUAAGCUUCAUUGUCGAGAGGGAAAUAGCCCAGAUCACUAUUUAAGGCCCUUAAAUAAUUACUAAGUGAUAAAGGAUGUGAAUUUAUUUAGACAACUAGGAGGUUGGCUUAGAAGCAGCAAUUCCUUUAAAAAGUGCGUAAUAGCUUACUAGUUAAAUGAAUUUGCGCCAAAAAUGAAUGGGACUAAGUAAUUUGCCGAAAAUGUGGGAAUUAUAAUCGGUAGGAGAGCGUUCUAUUUUGAAUGGAAGUAAUAACGUAAGUAAUUAUAGAUUAAAUAGAAGUGAGAAUGUCGGUUUGAGUAACGAAAACAUUGGUGAAAAUCUAAUGCUCCGAAAAUCUAAGGGUUCCUUAGCUAGGUUCGUCCUCUGAGGGUUAAUCAGGUCCUAAAAUGAAGUCUAAAGAUGUAAUUUGAUGGUAAACAGGUUAAUAUUCCUGUAUCAAUUUUGAUAAUGUAAAAAAGAGUUACGAAAAAGGCUAAGUCAUCCAUAAUUUGGUUUAAUGAUGUAAAAAUUUUAAUAAAUUUAAUUAUAUUUUUGAUUUCGGUUUAAUAAAUUUUAUUAGGUUAUUGUUUAUUUUUGCAUUAUUUUUUAUGGUUCAACUGUCUGAGAUGUUGAAAAAUAUUAUAAAAAAUAUUUGAGUUUAGGUUGGAGUACGAUUAGUAUUAUGAUAUUAAAAGUGAUGUAUGUCAUGUUUCCGAGAAAAGCUUUUGUUUUUAAAGUUUUAAAUUGCCUGUACCAUAAACUGACACAAGUGGAUUGGUUGAGUAUACUAAGGAGCUCGGGAUAAUUCUUUCUAAGGAACUCGGCAAAAUAACUUUGUAACUUAGGGAUAAAAAGUACCUUUAAAAGAGGUCUCAGAAAAAAGGUCCAAGCGACUGCUUAACAAAAGCACAAGUCUCCGCGAAGUUGAAAUACGAUGUAUGGGGGCUGAGGCCUGCUCAGUGCAGGAAGGUUAAAGAAAUUGGUUAGCGUUAGCAAAGCUAGUAACUGAAGCCCCUGUGAACAGCGGCAAUAACUAUAAUUGUCCUAAGGUAGCGAAAUUCCUUGUCGGGUAAGUUCCGACCCGCACGAAAGGUUUAACGAUUUGGACGCUGUCUCAGAAAGAAACUCGGUGAAAUAGAAUUGACUGUGAAGAUGCGGUCUACUUGCACUUGGACAGAAAGACCCUAUGAAGCUUUACUGUAACUUGAUAUUGAUUUUGAGUUUUACUUGCGCAGAAUAAGUGGGAGGCUAUGAUAUUAUUUUUAGGGAUAAUUUGAGCUGUAAUAUGAGAUACCACUCUAGAUGGACUAAAAAUCUAAUAUUUAAUCUUAUUUUGAAUUAAGUUGAUAGACAAUUUCAAGUGGACAGUUUUACUGGGGCGGUAGCUCCUAAAAGGUAACGGAGGCGUACAAAGGUUUUUUCAAUUUAUAUGGUAAUUAAAUAUAGAGCGUAAAGGUAUAAAAAAGCUUGACUGUAAGACAUAUAAGUCGAACAGGGAUUAAAGUCGGUCUUAAUGAUCCGGCGAUACUGGAUGGAAAGGUCGUCGCAAACAGAUAAAAGUUACUCUAGGGAUAACAGGCUGAUCUCCCCCAAGAGUUCAUAUCGACGGGGAGGUUUGGCACCUCGAUGUCGGCUCAUCGCAACCUGGAGCGGUAGUUUGUUUCAAGGGUUGGGCUGUUCGCCCAUUAAAGCGGUACGUGAGCUGGGUUCAGAACGUCGAGAGACAGUUCGGUCCAUAUCCGGUGUGAGCGUUAGAGUAUUGAAAGGAUUUUUUCUUAGUACGAGAGGACCAGAAAAAACAUACCUAUGGUAUACCAGUUUUUGUACCAGCAGAAUAUGCUGGGUAGCUACGUAUGGAGUGGAUAACUGCUGAAAGCAUAUAAGUAGGAAGCCUACCUUAAGAUAAGUACUCUUUAAUAGAUUAUGGUAAAAUUAACCGUUAGAUAGGUAUUAGGUAUAAAAAUAGUGAUAUUUAGCUGAGAUAUACUAAUAAAUCGAAAA